UUUGGAAGUAAAAGUAGAAACAAGGUUUCAGUAGGUGAUCCCGCGGAAGGAUCAUUGUCGAAGCAUAUGAAGCAACACAACACGUGAACGUGUAACAACAGCUAACCAUCAUAGGAAUCGGGCUUUUGUUUGUGACCUAUGGUGACUUGUCGAUUUGCCUUCUUGGUUGCCUCUUCGGAGAUUCCUUGAUGUCAAAUUCGACUCGAUAACAAGGCCCGGCACGGUAUGUGCCAAGGAAAACAAAACAUUAAGAAGGCCUCGUCCCAUGGAGGCCUGUUUUCUGUGUGUACCUGGGACAGUAGCUUCUUUAUAACCAAAAACGACUCUCGGCAACGGAUAUCUCGGCUCACGCAUCGAUGAAGAACGUAGCAAAAUGCGAUACUUGGUGUGAAUUGCAGAAUCCCGUGAACCAUCGAGUUUUUGAACGCAAGUUGCGCCGGAAGCCAUUCGGUCGAGGGCACAUCUGUGUGGCCGUCACGCAUAGCAUCCCUCCUCACCAAUCCAUCCUCAAGAGGGAUGUGUGUGAUGGGGCGGACAUUGGUCUCCCGUGCCUUUGGUGCGGUUGUCCAAAAUACAAGUCUCCUUUGGAUGGACGCACGGCAAGUGGUGGUUGGUAAAACCUUAGUCGCGUUUUGUGUGUCUUGAGAUGUACAGGAAGACUUUGUGAAGGACCCUACACGUGUUGUCUGGGACGACUCUCGACCGUGAGACCAUGUCUGUUGACAUGCAAUUAACCC
This 737-nucleotide ribosomal RNA is filed under the name Lonicera confusa. Its description in RNAcentral is "eukaryotic LSU rRNA". The stretch from base 322 to 477 matches the Rfam family "5.8S ribosomal RNA". The record is from RNAcentral. Lineage: Eukaryota; Viridiplantae; Streptophyta; Magnoliopsida; Dipsacales; Caprifoliaceae.